UUCUAGCCCAGAUUGAAGAGGAAAGCCCGGAGCAAAAAAAACUAAUUUUUCUUGCUAGAAAACAGCGACCAACGGAAGCUCGUUUUAUGGCUUAGAAAAAUAUUUUUUUUAGUGAGGACUUGAAACAGAAAGCUGGAAAUAGC
Molecule: small RNA, 143 nt
Filed under: Flavobacterium sp. 9
Lineage: Bacteria; Pseudomonadati; Bacteroidota; Flavobacteriia; Flavobacteriales; Flavobacteriaceae
Description: Flavo-1 RNA
Source: RNAcentral